GAUGAACGCUGACGGCGUGCCUAAUACAUGCAAGUCGAGCGAACGGACGAGAAGCUUGCUUCUCUGAUGUUAGCGGCGGACGGGUGAGUAACACGUGGAUAACCUACCUAUAAGACUGGGAUAACUUCGGGAAACCGGAGCUAAUACCGGAUAAUAUUUUGAACCGCAUGGUUCAAAAGUGAAAGACGGUCUUGCUGUCACUUAUAGAUGGAUCCGCGCUGCAUUAGCUAGUUGGUAAGGUAACGGCUUACCAAGGCAACGAUGCAUAGCCGACCUGAGAGGAUGAUCAGCCACACUGGAACUGAGACACGGUCCAGACUCCUACGGGAGGCAGCAGUAGGGAAUCUUCCGCAAAGGGCGAAAGCCUGACGGAGCAACGCCGCGUGAGUGAUGAAGGUCUUCGGAUCGUAAAACUCUGUUAUUAGGGAAGAACAUAUGUGUAAGUAACUGUGCACAUCUUGACGGUACCUAAUCAGAAAGCCACGGCUAACUACGUG
This 497-nucleotide ribosomal RNA is filed under the name uncultured bacterium. RNAcentral's name for it is "partial 16S ribosomal RNA". It matches the Rfam family "Bacterial small subunit ribosomal RNA", at positions 28 to 507 of the family's 1533-position model. The record is from RNAcentral.